RNAcentral lists this ribosomal RNA (468 nucleotides) under uncultured bacterium. RNAcentral's name for it is "partial 16S ribosomal RNA". It matches the Rfam family "Bacterial small subunit ribosomal RNA", at positions 28 to 507 of the family's 1533-position model. The record is from RNAcentral.
GACGAACGCUGGCGGCGUGCUUAACACAUGCAAGUCGAACGGAAAGGCCCUGCUUUUGUGGGGUGCUCGAGUGGCGAACGGGUGAGUAACACGUGAGUAACCUGCCCUUGACUUUGGGAUAACUUCAGGAAACUGGGGCUAAUACCGGAUAGGAGCUCCUGCUGCAUGGUGGGGGUUGGAAAGUUUCGGCGGUUGGGGAUGGACUCGCGGCUUAUCAGCUUGUUGGUGGGGUAGUGGCUUACCAAGGCUUUGACGGGUAGCCGGCCUGAGAGGGUUACCGGCCACAUUGGGACUGAGAUACGGCCCAGACUCCUACGGGAGGCAGCAGUGGGGAAUAUUGCACAAUGGGCGGAAGCCUGAUGCAGCAACGCCGCGUGCGGGAUAACGGCCUUCGGGUUGUAAACCGCUUUCGCCUGUGACGAAGCGUGAGUGACGGUACUGGGUAAAGAAGCACCGGCUAACUACGUG